UACGUAGGGUGCAAGCGUUAAUCGGAUUUACUGGGCGUAAAGGGCGCGUAGGCGGUUAUAUGAGUGUGAUGUGAAAGCCCCGGGCUUAACCUGGGAAGAGCAUUGCAAACGAUAUGACUGGAGUAGUUGAGAGGGUGAUGGAAUUUCCGGUGUAGCGGUGAAAUGCGUAGAGAUCGGAAGGAACGUCAAUGGCGAAGGCAGUCACCUGGCAACAUACUGACGCUGAGGCGCGAGAGCGUGGGUAGCGAACAGG
This 253-nucleotide ribosomal RNA is filed under the name uncultured bacterium. RNAcentral's name for it is "partial 16S ribosomal RNA". It matches the Rfam family "Bacterial small subunit ribosomal RNA", at positions 524 to 776 of the family's 1533-position model. The record is from RNAcentral.